Molecule: ribosomal RNA, 563 nt
Filed under: Methylobacterium sp. PCSM79
Lineage: Bacteria; Pseudomonadati; Pseudomonadota; Alphaproteobacteria; Hyphomicrobiales; Methylobacteriaceae
Description: bacterial SSU rRNA
Rfam family: Bacterial small subunit ribosomal RNA
Source: RNAcentral
GGAAACUAGGGCUAAUACCGGAUACGCCCUUAUGGGGAAAGGUUUACUGCCGGAAGAUCGGCCCGCGUCUGAUUAGCUAGUUGGUGGGGUAACGGCCUACCAAGGCGACGAUCAGUAGCUGGUCUGAGAGGAUGAUCAGCCACACUGGGACUGAGACACGGCCCAGACUCCUACGGGAGGCAGCAGUGGGGAAUAUUGGACAAUGGGCGCAAGCCUGAUCCAGCCAUGCCGCGUGAGUGAUGAAGGCCUUAGGGUUGUAAAGCUCUUUUAUCCGGGACGAUAAUGACGGUACCGGAGGAAUAAGCCCCGGCUAACUUCGUGCCAGCAGCCGCGGUAAUACGAAGGGGGCUAGCGUUGCUCGGAAUCACUGGGCGUAAAGGGCGCGUAGGCGGCGUUUUAAGUCGGGGGUGAAAGCCUGUGGCUCAACCACAGAAUGGCCUUCGAUACUGGGACGCUUGAGUAUGGUAGAGGUUGGUGGAACUGCGAGUGUAGAGGUGAAAUUCGUAGAUAUUCGCAAGAACACCGGUGGCGAAGGCGGCCAACUGGACCAUUACUGACGCUGA